UACGGAGGGUGCGAGCGUUGUCCGGAAUCAUUGGGCGUAAAGGGCGCGUAGGUGGCCCGGUCAGUUCGUGGUGAAAGCGCGGGGCUCAACCCUGCGUCGGCCAUGAAUACUGCCGCGGCUGGAGCACUGUAGAGGCAGGCGGAAUUCCGGGUGUAGCGGUGGAAUGCGUAGAGAUCCGGAAGAACACCGGUGGCGAAGGCGGCCUGCUGGGCAGUUGCUGACGCUGAGGUGCGAAAGCGUGGGGAGCAACAGG
Molecule: ribosomal RNA, 253 nt
Filed under: uncultured bacterium
Lineage: Bacteria
Description: partial 16S ribosomal RNA
Rfam family: Bacterial small subunit ribosomal RNA
Source: RNAcentral